RNAcentral lists this transfer RNA (73 nucleotides) under subsurface metagenome. RNAcentral's name for it is "tRNA-Ile". It matches the Rfam family "tRNA". From Rfam's summary of the family: Transfer RNA (tRNA) molecules are approximately 80 nucleotides in length. The record is from RNAcentral.
GGGCUCGUAGCUCAGUGGAAGAGCACUAUCCUGAUAAGAUAGGGGGCGUUGGUUCAAGUCCAACCGAGCCCAC